This 254-nucleotide ribosomal RNA is filed under the name uncultured bacterium. RNAcentral's name for it is "partial 16S ribosomal RNA". It matches the Rfam family "Bacterial small subunit ribosomal RNA", at positions 524 to 776 of the family's 1533-position model. The record is from RNAcentral.
UACGUAGGGUGCAAGCGUUAAUCGGAAUUACUGGGCGUAAAGCGUGCGCAGGCGGUGAUGUAAGACAGAUGUGAAAUCCCUGGGCUCAACCUGGGAACUGCAUUUGUGACUGCAUCGCUGGAGUGCGGCAGAGGGGGAUGGAAUUCCGCGUGUAGCAGUGAAAUGCGUAGAUAUGCGGAGGAACACCGAUGGCGAAGGCAAUCCCCUGGGCCUGCACUGACGCUCAGUGCACGAAAGCGUGGGGAGCAAACAGG